Molecule: small RNA, 4542 nt
Filed under: Pongo abelii (Sumatran orangutan)
Lineage: Eukaryota; Metazoa; Chordata; Mammalia; Primates; Hominidae
Description: retained intron
Source: RNAcentral
GAGAAGCCCGGAUCGAAGCGCAGGGUGGCAGCCCCGGCGCCGGGGAAUGUGACGAUUUCUUGGCUGUGCAGUGGUACCGUCGGGGCCUGGGCCGCGAAGGAUCUGCCACAGCUGCAACAUGGGCGGCAAGAACAAGAAACACAAGGCUCCAGCGGCCGCGGUGGUCCGGGCCGCCGUGUCUGCUUCCAGAGCCAAAUCUGCCGAGGCUGGAAUUGCCGGGGAGGCCCAAAGCAAGAAGCCGGUGUCCAGGCCGGCCACCGCUGCCAGCGCCAGGGAGCCCCGUGUCAAGCAAGGUCCAAAAAUUUAUAGUUUUAAUUCUACAAAUGAUUCUAGUGGUCCUGCAAAUCUGGAUAAAUCUAUUUUGAAAGUGGUAAUUAAUAACAAACUAGAGCAGAGAAUUAUUGGAGUGAUCAAUGAGCAUAAAAAGCAAAAUAAUGACAAAGGAAUGAUUUCUGGAAGACUUACUGCCAAAAAAUUGCAGGAUUUAUACAUGGCUUUACAAGCAUUUUCAUUUAAGACAAAGGACAUUGAAGAUGCCAUGACCAAUACACUCUUAUAUGGAGGUGACCUUCAUUCUGCCUUGGAUUGGCUCUGUUUAAACCUUUCAGAUGAUGCACUUCCUGAAGGAUUCAGUCAGGAAUUUGAAGAGCAACAACCUAAAAGUAGGCCUAAAUUUCAGUCUCCUCAAACACAAGCCACUAUUUCACCUCCAUUGCAAACUAAAACAAAAACAUAUGAAGAAGACCCUAAGAGUAAGCCAAAAAAGGAAGAAAAAAAUAUGGAAGUAAAUAUGAAAGAGUGGAUUUUACGAUAUGCUGAACAACAAAAUGAAGAAGAAAAGAAUGAGAAUUCUAAAAGUUUAGAAGAGGAGGAAAAAUUUGACCCUAACGAAAGGUACUUACAUCUUGCAGCAAAACUGCUGGAUGCAAAAGAACAAGCAGCUACCUUUAAACUAGAAAAAAACAAGCAAGGCCAAAAAGAGUCUCAGGAAAAAAUAAGGAAAUUUCAAAGAGAAAUGGAAACUUUAGAAGACCAUCCAGUAUUUAACCCAGCCAUAAAGAUUUCACAUCAACAAAAUGAAAGGAAAAAGCCUCCUGUAGCCACAGAAGGAGAAAGUGCAUUGAAUUUUAAUUUAUUUGAAAAAUCUGCAGCUGCUACUGAAGAAGAGAAAGAUAAAAAGAAAGAACCUCAUGAUGUAAGAAAUUUUGACUAUACUGCUCGAAGUUGGACUGGAAAAUCUCCAAAACAAUUUCUGAUUGAUUGGGUCAGGAAGAAUCUUCCCAAGAGUCCAAAUCCUUCCUUUGAAAAAGUUCCAGUAGGUAGAUACUGGAAAUGUAGGGUUAGGGUAAUCAAGUCUGAAGAUGAUGUCCUGGUAGUGUGCCCUACAAUCUUAACAGAAGAUGGCAUGCAAGCUCAGCACCUGGGAGCUACUUUAGCCCUUUAUCGUUUAGUUAAAGGGCAGUCAGUUCAUCAGUUACUUCCUCCCACUUACCGAGAUGUUUGGCUGGAGUGGAGUGAUGCAGAAAAGAAAAGGGAAGAAUUAAAUAAAAUGGAAACCAAUAAACCACGUGAUCUUUUUAUUGCCAAACUUCUGAAUAAACUGAAACAGCAGCAACAGCAGCAACAACAGCAUUCUGAAAAUAAGAGAGAAAACUCUGAAGAUCCCGAGGAAUCUUGGGAAAAUUUAGUUUCGGAUGAGGAUUUUUCUGCACUGUCCUUGGAAUCAGCAAAUGUGGAAGAUUUGGAACCUGUUAGAAACCUCUUUAGAAAGUUGCAAAGCACACCUAAGUAUCAGAGACUUCUAAAGGAAAGACAACAGUUACCUGUAUUUAAACAUCGGGACUCAAUUGUUGAAACUCUUAAAAGGCACCGGGUAGUGGUUGUGGCAGGUGAAACAGGGAGUGGUAAAAGUACUCAGGUACCACAUUUUCUAUUAGAAGAUUUGCUUCUAAAUGAGUGGGAAGCAAGUAAAUGUAACAUUGUCUGUACCCAACCCCGAAGAAUCUCAGCAGUUAGUUUAGCCGGCAGAGUAUGUGAUGAAUUGGGCUGUGAAAAUGGACCUGGAGGAAGGGUAAGCUGUCAUUCAACUCCACCUCAGUGAAUGAUGGUGACAUUACUCACCUUUGCUUUUGUGAUCCAAAUGGAAUGUGUACCAUAUAAUUCCUUGUGUGGAUAUCAGAUCCGGAUGGAAUCCCGAGCUUGUGAAUCUACCAGGUUACUGUAUUGUACAACAGGGGUUUUGCUAAGGAAACUUCAAGAAGAUGGUCUUCUAAGUAAUGUGUCUCAUGUUAUUGUAGAUGAGGUUCAUGAAAGAAGUGUCCAAUCAGACUUCCUACUAAUUAUCUUGAAGGAAAUUUUACAGAAACGUUCUGAUCUACACUUGAUUCUAAUGAGUGCCACUGUGGACAGCGAAAAAUUUUCUACAUAUUUCACACACUGCCCCAUUCUCAGAAUUUCAGGAAGAAGUUAUCCUGUUGAGGUUUUUCAUCUUGAAGAUAUAAUAGAAGAAACAGGCUUUGUACUGGAAAAAGACUCAGAAUAUUGUCAGAAGUUUCUGGAAGAGGAAGAAGAAGUAACCAUUAAUGUUACAAGCAAAGCAGGGGGAAUAAAAAAAUAUCAGGAAUACAUCCCAGUUCAGACUGGAGCACAUGCUGAUUUAAAUCCAUUUUACCAAAAGUACAGCAGCCGCACUCAGCAUGCUAUUCUAUACAUGAAUCCUCAUAAAAUCAACCUGGAUCUCAUUUUGGAACUUCUUGCAUACUUAGAUAAAAGUCCCCAAUUCAGAAAUAUUGAAGGAGCAGUAUUGAUCUUUUUACCAGGCCUUGCUCAUAUUCAGCAGUUGUAUGAUCUUCUAUCAAAUGACAGAAGAUUUUAUUCUGAACGAUAUAAAGUGAUAGCUCUGCAUUCUAUUCUUUCAACCCAAGAUCAAGCUGCAGCAUUCACACUUCCUCCUCCAGGAGUCAGGAAGAUUGUUUUAGCAACCAAUAUUGCAGAGACGGGUAUCACUAUUCCUGAUGUUGUAUUUGUAAUUGAUACUGGAAGAACAAAAGAAAAUAAGUACCAUGAAAGCAGUCAGAUGAGUUCUUUGGUGGAGACGUUUGUCAGUAAAGCCAGUGCUUUGCAGCGCCAGGGAAGAGCUGGGCGGGUCAGAGAUGGCUUCUGUUUCCGAAUGUACACAAGAGAAAGAUUUGAAGGCUUUAUGGAUUAUUCUGUUCCUGAAAUCUUACGUGUACCUUUGGAGGAAUUAUGCCUUCAUAUUAUGAAAUGUAAUCUUGGUUCUCCUGAAGAUUUCCUCUCCAAAGCCUUAGAUCCUCCUCAGCUCCAAGUGAUCAGCAAUGCAAUGAAUUUGCUCCGAAAAAUUGGAGCUUGUGAAUUAAAUGAGCCUAAACUGACUCCGUUGGGCCAACACCUUGCAGCUUUACCUGUGAAUGUCAAGAUUGGCAAAAUGCUUAUUUUUGGUGCCAUAUUUGGCUGCCUUGACCCAGUGGCAACACUAGCUGCAGUUAUGACAGAGAAGUCUCCUUUUACCACGCCAAUUGGUCGAAAAGAUGAAGCAGAUCUUGCAAAAUCAGCUUUGGCUAUGGCGGAUUCAGACCACCUGACGAUCUACAAUGCAUAUCUAGGAUGGAAGAAAGCACGACAAGAAGGAGGUUAUCGUUCUGAAAUCACAUACUGCCGGAGGAACUUUCUUAAUAGAACAUCACUGUUAACCCUAGAGGAUGUAAAGCAGGAGUUAAUAAAGUUGGUUAAGGCAGCAGGAUUUUCAUCUUCCACAACUUCUACCAGCUGGGAAGGAAACAGAGCCUCACAGACCCUCUCAUUCCAAGAAAUUGCCCUUCUUAAAGCUGUACUGGUGGCUGGACUGUAUGACAAUGUGGGGAAGAUAAUCUAUACAAAGUCAGUGGAUGUUACAGAAAAAUUGGCUUGCGUUGUGGAGACGGCCCAAGGCAAAGCACAAGUACACCCAUCCUCAGUAAAUCGAGAUUUGCAAACUCAUGGAUGGCUCUUAUACCAGGAGAAGAUAAGGUAUGCCAGAGUGUAUUUGAGAGAAACUACCCUGAUAACCCCUUUUCCAGUUUUACUUUUUGGUGGUGAUAUAGAAGUUCAGCACCGAGAACGUCUUCUUUCUAUUGAUGGCUGGAUCUAUUUUCAGGCCCCUGUAAAGAUAGCUGUCAUUUUCAAGCAGCUGAGAGUUCUCAUUGAUUCUGUUUUAAGAAAAAAGCUUGAAAAUCCAAAGAUGUCCCUUGAAAAUGACAAGAUUCUGCAGAUCAUUACGGAAUUGAUAAAAACAGAGAAUAACUGAAACUGAAAUUCAUGGUCAACUGCUUUAAAAAUUAAGAUGAAGAUACAGUCAUGAAAUUAUCUGAAAAUGGAUCAUCACAUUAAGUAUUUCAUUACUUAAAAUGUUGGUACUAGCCAUUAACUUAAAGGUGGCGGGAAAAAAGCACAUACUUUAAACAUGUAUAAUUUUCUAGUUCCUUUUUAAUGAUGAUUAUUCUGAAUGUAUUUGCCACUACAUUUACAAUAAAUUCUUUGGUAUCA